ACCCCAUCUCCCUCACAACCAUCUCGCCCGAACGCCGCCCCUCACAGCCACCUCGCUCGAACGCAGCCCAGAUCGGACGCUGAACGUCCGCCGCCGCCCUCCUCAGCCCGUCAUCCAGACGCCACCGGUCCGACCCUAGCCACUCGCCGCCGAGGUUUUUGCCCUAACCGACCACCCUUUGUCGCGUUUCGCUGCCAUUGCUGCCUAGUCGAUGCCUCACUGUUCGUCGAGGCCCGAAUGCGUGCGAACCCCCCCGACGAUCAUCGCUUCCAGAUGCAUCAGCAGUCGUUCCGGCAUUUUGCUACCCGCGUUGUCGUUCAGAUCUGCUCCGCGCUGUUCCGGUUCGCCCUUCCAACCAUUGUCCGCCAGUAUAGUAGCUGCUAGCUGUCGGGUUCAUCCUCUUCUACCGCCAUUCCGUAGGAUUUUCGCCAGAAGAUUGGAAUAUGGGCUUGGAUUGAACUUUCAAGGUGUUGGGAAUCACUGCCUAGUACGAUUAGAGUUGGCUUUAGGGAAUUUUGGGUUAGGAAUAGAUUGGAAUCUCCUUACUAAGCUUGGAACAGAUUUCUAGAUCAGCACAUCGUUUGGGUAAGGGUAGAAAUGCCACCGGCGAUGGCGCAGCGAAAUUCAUGAUCGAGCCACUGGGACUAGUUUUUUUUACGCUUCCGCAUCAUGAGAUUUAGAGUUCUUUUCAUGUUUCCCUUAAUGUUUAGUUUUGAUGUUUGAAACUUAUUAUUAAGAAUUGUUUU
This is a long non-coding RNA of Benincasa hispida (wax gourd), 746 nucleotides long. RefSeq lists it as uncharacterized. The record is from RefSeq and is a predicted model, not a curated record. Lineage: Eukaryota; Viridiplantae; Streptophyta; Magnoliopsida; Cucurbitales; Cucurbitaceae.